GGGGUUGUGACUCAGCAGUAAAGUACUUGCCUGGCAUGCAUGAGGCCCUGGGUUCAAAUCUCAGCACCA
Molecule: transfer RNA, 69 nt
Filed under: Ictidomys tridecemlineatus (thirteen-lined ground squirrel)
Lineage: Eukaryota; Metazoa; Chordata; Mammalia; Rodentia; Sciuridae
Description: Spermophilus tridecemlineatus (thirteen-lined ground squirrel) tRNA
Rfam family: tRNA
About the family: Transfer RNA (tRNA) molecules are approximately 80 nucleotides in length. Their secondary structure includes four short double-helical elements and three loops (D, anti-codon, and T loops).
Source: Rfam by way of RNAcentral